Molecule: ribosomal RNA, 431 nt
Filed under: uncultured Methanosaeta sp.
Lineage: Archaea; Methanobacteriati; Methanobacteriota; Methanomicrobia; Methanotrichales; Methanotrichaceae
Description: bacterial SSU rRNA
Rfam family: Archaeal small subunit ribosomal RNA
Source: RNAcentral
UAUUCAACGCCGGAAAUCUUACCGGGACCGACAGCAAUAUGAAGGCCAGGCUGAAGACUUUGCCGGAUUAGCUGAGAGGUGGUGCAUGGCCGUCGUCAGUUCGUACUGUGAAGCAUCCUGUUAAGUCAGGCAACGAGCGAGACCCACGCCCACAGUUGCCAGCGUACUCUCUGGAGUGACGGGUACACUGUGGGACCGCCGCUGCUAAAGCGGAGGAAGGAAUGGGCAACGGUAGGUCAGUAUGCCCCGAAUAUCCCGGGCUACACGCGAGCUACAAUGGUUGGUACAAUGGGUAUCUACCCCGGAAAGGGGACGGGAAUCUACCUAAAACCAAUCUUAGUUCGGAUUGAGGGCUGCAACUCGCCCUCAUGAAGCUGGAAUCCGUAGUAAUCGCGUUUCAACAGAACGCGGUGAAUACGUCCCUGCUCCUU